Long non-coding RNA from Aquila chrysaetos chrysaetos, 1743 nucleotides. RefSeq lists it as uncharacterized. NCBI's taxonomy places the organism in Eukaryota, Metazoa, Chordata, Aves, Accipitriformes, Accipitridae. The transcript is spliced from 3 exons. The record is from RefSeq and is a predicted model, not a curated record.
UGGUCGCCCCCCUGUGGCGAGGGCGGGUGCAGGGCCCCCGGGGCGGGAAGGGGGUUGUCAUGGAAACGCCUCCCCGGCUGGGCUGUUCCCAAUGGCGUCCUCCCCCUCCGGUGGUGGUGGGGGGGUGUCCCUCCCCGUGGAAGCCGCUGCACCCCCGCGGGGCUGGGACCUGUCCUGAGCCGGCUGGGCACGGACGGACGGACGACGGGGAAGGACUCCCCGUAGCGCUGGGUACCGCUGCGAGGCGCGGGGUGGGGGGGGUUCCCCACCGGGGCGGUGGCAGACGGCCAGAGCCCCCACCAGCCUGGCGGCGGCCGCCGCCUCCCCGGAGCUGUCCGCCCGGCGGCUGCUGAUGGGCGGCCGGAGGAGAGGGGCUGGGCUGGAAGGCGGGGGCCCCGGAGCGGGGGGAGCCCCCCGCCUCGGCCAGCGAGGACAGCUUACAGAGGGCAGGUGAAGCAGCUCGGCGCCCGGUGCCCUCGGUCCCAGGAGGAUCUGAUCCCUUCCCCUCCAGCCUGCGCUUAGGCACCUCAGCUUGGAAGGGAAAUAACCUGGUCUUCAGGUCCAGAAACAACUAAAUAUCUUGUUCCUUUUCAUACCGUGAGGUCUCCACUGCUGCUCAGAAGAUGGAGCACUUUUUAUUUUUAGUAACAAUAUCUCUCAUGCUGGGAUGGAAGAAUCUUAAACCAAUUAAACACAUUAGAAGAUAACAGUGUGUGUGGGUUUGGUUCAAGAUCUCCAUUUUCUUCACUCUGGGAUAGUUUCCAGUCUCUUGGCUAGGAAGUACUGAGUACGAAGGGUGCACUGCCAUAAACCAGCAGAAAGAAACACCUGGAAAGGCAUUGGUUUGCAUGGCUUUAUCUCACAGAUCCCGCACUAUUCAGGCUGCUUGCCUUUACGCUGGUGACUCCUCGGAGCCACCCUGAUGAGCCAUGGAGCAGGAGACUGCUGAGGGGCCUCGGGCUUACUGACGGCUGUAUCCCUGUUCAAAAUGGCAUCGGGCAGGUGUGCAGGCUCCUUGUUCUGAUUUGUCGAUGUCUGAGAUGCUGUGAGAGACAUUUUUCAAAGGUGUACUUAAGAUCAUUAUUAAUUGUCGCUUUGAAAAUAUGCGUAUUUCAUACUUGCCUAUAACUUUAAUGGCUAGUUCACCUAUCUGGGCUUUUUGAAAGCUGGCACAGCCUCACUUGCUGAGAGUGAAAAGAGAUGACCUCUCUUUGCUUAGUAUUGGCAGCUGAAGAAUUCCCGUGAGUGGCAGUUAGUGGGUCAACAGCAAAAGCACAACCCUUGAGAUUAAUAUUUUGUAAACGAGGAAAACAAGCUCAAUCAGGUGUUAUUCUUUUUCUAAUGUUAUAUAGGAAGCACUUCUUUUUCUGGCAUUUUUCAAAUGCUGGAGAACAGCAAUUGUUUGUGUAGAAUUAUCUGUUAUUGUUAGCAAUGUUCUUGCUUCUCUGCAGCACAGUGACAUUGCCUUUAUCCUUUAGAAGCAAUGGAAAAUGAUAAAUUAGGUUAACAAGCUUCAGUCUAAAGUGAAAACUAAAUCUGUGACUAUACAACUCUUGUUGCAUUCAUUCUGGUCAAGGGUUGGUUUGUUCAUUUAUUUUCUGGGAAAAAGCAUCCCUUUUCCUUGACCUCCUGAGAACCAGAAAACAUGAUUGAAACUCAGCUGAAGUAGACUAUUUCAGGGCUUAGCAAAGAAUGCUGGGCACAGCAUUUAGGGAUGUAGAUAGCUUGUUUUCCUUAAUUGCU